Molecule: transfer RNA, 66 nt
Filed under: Somanniathelphusa boyangensis
Lineage: Eukaryota; Metazoa; Arthropoda; Malacostraca; Decapoda; Parathelphusidae
Description: tRNA-Pro
Source: RNAcentral
CAAGGAGUAGUUUAAACAAAAAUUUUAAUUUUGGGGAUUAAGGAUGAAUUAAUAAUUUCUCUUUGA